GCGAGAAUAGCUCAAUGGUCAGAGCGCAACUUUGCCAAGGUUGAAGCUAAGGGUUCGAUUCCCUUUUCUCGCU
RNAcentral lists this transfer RNA (73 nucleotides) under Cavernulicola chilensis. RNAcentral describes it as "tRNA-Gly". It matches the Rfam family "tRNA". From Rfam's summary of the family: Transfer RNA (tRNA) molecules are approximately 80 nucleotides in length. Their secondary structure includes four short double-helical elements and three loops (D, anti-codon, and T loops). Further hydrogen bonds mediate the characteristic L-shaped molecular structure. tRNAs have two regions of fundamental functional importance: the anti-codon, which is responsible for specific mRNA codon recognition, and the 3' end, to which the tRNAs corresponding amino acid is attached (by aminoacyl-tRNA synthetases). tRNAs cope with the degeneracy of the genetic code in two manners: having more than one tRNA (with a specific anti-codon) for a particular amino acid; and 'wobble' base-pairing, i.e. permitting non-standard base-pairing at the 3rd anti-codon position. The record is from RNAcentral. Lineage: Eukaryota; Rhodophyta; Bangiophyceae; Cavernulicolales; Cavernulicolaceae.